GGAGGAUGCGAGCGUUAUCCGGAUUCAUUGGGCGUAAAGCGCGCGUAGGCGGCGCGUCAAGCGGGACCUCUAACCCCGGGGCUCAACCCCGGGCCGGGUCCCGGACUGGCGCGCUCGAGUGCGGUAGAGGCGAGUGGAAUUCCCGGUGUAGCGGUGGAAUGCGCAGAUAUCGGGAAGAACACCGAUGGCGAAGGCAGCUCGCUGGGCCGACACUGACGCUGAGGCGCGAAAGCUGGGGGAGCGAA
Molecule: ribosomal RNA, 245 nt
Filed under: uncultured bacterium
Lineage: Bacteria
Description: partial 16S ribosomal RNA
Rfam family: Bacterial small subunit ribosomal RNA
Source: RNAcentral